This 862-nucleotide unclassified non-coding RNA is filed under the name Hevea brasiliensis (rubber tree). Lineage: Eukaryota; Viridiplantae; Streptophyta; Magnoliopsida; Malpighiales; Euphorbiaceae. The record is from RNAcentral.
GGCCCAAGUAUGCAAAGGUGACUCUGCACACACAAAUUUGGAGCAUCUGGAGCCUAGAUCCAUGAGUUCUGUACCGGUCAGCCACAUGGAUGUUGCCCCAGAGAGGAGACAGUUUGGCAUUUUCCAGGUGGUUGGAGAUGCUGGACGUGAAUGCAAAGUGGAAGUGCCAAGUAAUUCUGCACCAGCUGCCAAUUCUCAGCCAUCCCGCUCUGUUAAUGAAGCUGCAGGUCAUAUGCAGGAGAAAACAUCUGUGGGCAGCAUGGAGAAAGGCUUCUGUAGCACAAAUGGUAGGAAAUUUGAGAUAAAUCUGGAAGACGAGUAUAAAGAUGAAGAGGCAUCUGAAACGAGUGGAAGUGCAGCUACGGAACCGACACGGAAGGAGCUCAAUAAUGAUGUGUCGAACCACCUGAAACGUCCACGUUCAGUGGACACUGUGAUGCAAUAUGCUGACUCUGGAGUUAAUCGAGCAACUCGACUUUUUAACGAUAAUGACCAAGUUGAAGAGGCACACCAUGACAAAAAGUUGAAGACUAGUAUUGGUGGGUCUUAUGGUAAUAGCGAGCAAACUAGUUCCAGUGAUGAUUUUUUGUCACGGAUGCGUGGUUCCUCUUAUGGACCCUACCUUCCGGAUACUGGGUAUGAUGAAGUUCUGAGUAAGGCACCUGUUCCGGAGUGCACAGAGAGUGCUGAAAGAUAUUUCUUCCCUGUUGAUCCAAAUCCUGGUAAGGCUAGCUCGACGCCUUGGCAAAUGCAUCAUCCAGACAAUGAUCGGCUUAGUGAUAGAGUCCCGAAUCUUGAGCUAGCAUUAGGUGGUGAGUCAAAUUCACAGACUCGGGGAAUCCCACCCUUUUUAGUUGGGAAA